GGAACUGCAGGACGAGAAGGCCGGGCUGCAGAAGGUCUGUGACGAGCAGGAGCAAGCUCUCCAGGAGAUGGGCUUGCACCUCAGCCAAUCCAAGCUGAAGAUGGAAGACAUAAAAGAAGUGAACCAGGCCCUGAAGGGGCACACGUGGCUGAGGGACAACGAAGCCACACACUGCAGGCAGUGUGAGAAGGAGUUCUCCAUUUCCCGGAGGAAG
Carlito syrichta (Philippine tarsier) is the source of this 214-nucleotide long non-coding RNA. RefSeq lists it as uncharacterized. The record is from RefSeq and is a predicted model, not a curated record. NCBI's taxonomy places the organism in Eukaryota, Metazoa, Chordata, Mammalia, Primates, Tarsiidae. The transcript has 3 exons.